This 774-nucleotide ribosomal RNA is filed under the name uncultured Neocallimastigales. RNAcentral's name for it is "partial large subunit ribosomal RNA". It matches the Rfam family "Eukaryotic large subunit ribosomal RNA", at positions 24 to 644 of the family's 3401-position model. The record is from RNAcentral. Lineage: Eukaryota; Fungi; Neocallimastigomycota; Neocallimastigomycetes; Neocallimastigales.
UAUCUCUGUAGAGUCUGCAUAUCAAUAAGCGGAGGAAAAGAAACUAACAAGGAUUCCCUUAGUAACGGCGAGUGAAGCGGGAAGAGCUCAAAUUUGAAAUCUUCAAGGUUCUACCUUGACGAAUUGUAGUUUAAAGAAGUGUUUUCUGUUAGAUGAGUAGCAAAAGUUCCUUGGAAUGGGACAUCAUAGAGGGUGAGAAUCCCGUAUUUGGUUAUUCAUUCUAGCUUUGUGAUACACUUUCAAAGAGUCGGAUUGUUUGGGAAUGCAGUCCAAAAUGGGUGGUAAAUUUCAUCUAAAGCUAAAUAUUGGCGAGAGACCGAUAGCGAACAAGUACCGUGAGGGAAAGAUGAAAAGAACUUUGAAAAGAGAGUUAAACAGUACGUGAAAUUGUCAAAAGGGAAGCGUUUGACACCAGUGUUGUUUUCUCGAAAAUCAAUUACGAAUGGCUUGAUUUUGUGUUGUAUUGACCUUAUCAGCUUUCUUCACUUUUUUCGAGUCUUUCUUAAUGCACUUUUCGGUUAACAAGUCAACAUCAAUUUCUUUUGUUGUAAAAGAGUAUUCGGAAGGUGGCUUUCUUUUCGGAGAAAGUGUUUAUAGCCCUAUACUUCUACAAUCGGAGAGAUUGAGGUCUGCAGCGUAGAUCCUUCGGGGUUAGAUACACUUGUGCUAAGUUGUAGCUUUUCAUAGACAACUUGUUGACUAUGUUUAGUCAUGCGGCUUACUCGCUUGUGCUAUUUUACCUACGCUUAGGAUGUUGACUGAUAUGUAGUCGUA